GAGUGUCGGUGAUGAUUUCCCACCGUUUGGUAUUCGAGUUUAACGACCAUGAGAAUACCUGACAUGCACUACCAUCUGAGACCUA
This is a small nucleolar RNA of Anguilla anguilla (European eel), 85 nucleotides long. Lineage: Eukaryota; Metazoa; Chordata; Actinopteri; Anguilliformes; Anguillidae. The record is from RefSeq and is a predicted model, not a curated record.